RNAcentral lists this ribosomal RNA (292 nucleotides) under uncultured bacterium. RNAcentral's name for it is "partial 16S ribosomal RNA". The record is from RNAcentral.
GGACUACACGGGUAUCUAAUCCUGUUUGCUCCCCACACUUUCGCGCCUCAGCGUCAGAACCGGUCCAGAUAGCCGCCUUCGCCACUGGUGUUCCUCUUAAUAUCUACGGAUUUCACUCCUACACUAAGAAUUCCACUAUCCCCUACCGGUCUCUAGCCUCCCAGUAUUAAAAGCAAUUCCGAGGUUAAGCCCCGGGAUUUCACUUCUAACUUAAGAGGCCGCCUACGCGCCCUUUACGCCCAGUAAUUCCGAACAACGCUAGCCCCCUCUGUAUUACCGCGGCUGCUGGCAC